UUUUAUAUUAGAAUAGCUGAGGGGUUGUUACCCCCGUUUAAAUGUUCUAUAAGGG
Molecule: transfer RNA, 55 nt
Filed under: Pomphorhynchus rocci
Lineage: Eukaryota; Metazoa; Acanthocephala; Palaeacanthocephala; Echinorhynchida; Pomphorhynchidae
Description: tRNA-Asn
Source: RNAcentral